Molecule: ribosomal RNA, 253 nt
Filed under: uncultured bacterium
Lineage: Bacteria
Description: partial 16S ribosomal RNA
Rfam family: Bacterial small subunit ribosomal RNA
Source: RNAcentral
UACAGAGGGGGCAAGCGUUGUUCGGAAUUACUGGGCGUAAAGGGCGCGUAGGCGGCCUGCUAAGUCGAACGUGAAAUCCCUGGGCUCAACCCAGGAACUGCGUCCGAUACUGGUUGGCUUGAAUCCGGGAGAGGGAUGUGGAAUUCCAAGUGUAGCGGUGAAAUGCGUAGAUAUCUGGAGGAACACCGGUGGCGAAGGCGACAUCCUGGACCGGUAUUGACGCUGAGGCGCGAAAGCCAGGGGAGCAAACGGG